RNAcentral lists this ribosomal RNA (309 nucleotides) under uncultured archaeon. RNAcentral's name for it is "bacterial SSU rRNA". It matches the Rfam family "Archaeal small subunit ribosomal RNA", at positions 526 to 834 of the family's 1478-position model. The record is from RNAcentral.
AGGUUGGGUAAAUCUUUUGUGAAAUCGCCAGGCCUAACUUGGCGCAUUGCAGGAGAGACUGCUCAACUAGGGACCGGGAGGAGUCAGAAGUAUUCCGGGGGGACCGGUAAAAUGGUAUAAUCCCCGGAGGACUACCGAUGGCGAAGGCAUCUGACCAGAACGGAUCCGACUGUGAGGGACGAAAGCCAGGGGAGCGAACCGGAUUAGAUACCCGAGUAGUCCUGGCCGUAAACUCUGCGAGUUAGGUGUUGCGCAAACUACGGGUUUGCGCAGUGUCGAAAAGAAGUUGUUAAACUCGCCGCCUGGGAA